RNAcentral lists this ribosomal RNA (467 nucleotides) under uncultured bacterium. RNAcentral describes it as "partial 16S ribosomal RNA". It matches the Rfam family "Bacterial small subunit ribosomal RNA", at positions 28 to 506 of the family's 1533-position model. The record is from RNAcentral.
GACGAACGCUGGCGGCGUGCUUAACACAUGCAAGUCGAACGGAAAGGCCCUGCUUUUGUGGGGUGCUCGAGUGGCGAACGGGUGAGUAACACGUAAGUAACCUGCCCUUGACUUUGGGAUAACUUCAGGAAACUGGGGCUAAUACCGGAUAGGAGCUCCUGCUGCAUGGUGGGGGUUGGAAAGUUUCGGCGGUUGGGGAUGGACUCGCGGCUUAUCAGCUUGUUGGUGGGGUAGUGGCUUACCAAGGCUUUGACGGGUAGCCGGCCUGAGAGGGUGACCGGCCACAUUGGGACUGAGAUACGGCCCAGACUCAUACGGGAGGCAGGAGUGGGGAAUAUUGCACAAUGGGCGGAAGCCUGAUGCAGCAACGCCGCGUGCGGGAUGACGGCCUUCGGGUUGUAAACCGCUUUCGCCUGUGACGAAGCGUGAGUGACGGUAAUGGGUAAAGAAGCACCGGCUAACUACGU